RNAcentral lists this long non-coding RNA (1576 nucleotides) under Scleropages formosus (Asian bonytongue). Its description in RNAcentral is "lncRNA (ENSSFOG00015032586.1)". The record is from RNAcentral. Lineage: Eukaryota; Metazoa; Chordata; Actinopteri; Osteoglossiformes; Osteoglossidae.
CACCCAGGCGCUGAGAGACAGCAGCGCUACUCGCUGCGCCACCGUGCCGCCCAAUUUAUUAACCGCUCUGGGUAAGUACUGUACUAGAGCAGGAGGGGGACUCGAACCCUGGUCCUCCAGAAUUAACCGUGUGUGGAUGAAACCGGGCUGGUAACACUACAUAGUGUCCAUCGGAAGUCCCUUUGGAGAAAAGCGUCUGCUAAAUAAGUAAAUGUAAAUAUAUGAAACGGCAAUGAUAAACCCCACAUGUGUGUGAUGCUCAGAUGUACUCACUUUCAACGAUUCCUACAACAACAGCAGGGAACCCGGGACCUUCCGGUGGACGGCGGUGCCGUGAACCACUUCGCCACCCAGGGGCAUCUGAAGGGAACAACACUGCAGUCGCGUACAGAAGCGUACCACAGUCCUCGCCGAGCCUCCCCCCGCACCCACCCACCGUGUCCAAAUCCUGACCGGCCGCAAAGUCAAUCACGCCCACAAUUCAGCCAAGACGCGCACAGGUUUGGAGAGGAAAGGAGAUGGUCCAUGCUGAGGCACAACCACACAAUGGUCAGUUCUCACUCAUCCUUCCUCCCACUCAUCAUGACAGGCAUCGAUGAGCAUCUCCCCCGCCAGUUUCCACGCGGGGCCACCAGGAGGUGGGUCCACCUCCACAUGGCAGGUGAGGUAAUCCCCCCCCCCCCGUGGUAUAGGUUCGAGGGUCACGGUUUCAUUUUAGAAGGUGUGUAACUUGGGAUGCGGCCAACGGAAGGGCAAGAGAGUAAGUGAGCCCUGUUUGCGGGUUCGAGACCAGGGGGCCCAAGCAGUUGGAACAAGAGGCUUGCAAACACACCCGUUUUCGCUCACAUUUCCAUCUUUAUUUACGUCGACAGCACUUUCCUCCCCGGUGAUAAUACCAACCAACCAAACAACUUCAAUGACCGCCUGUCCCGAACGGAGUCGCGGUGAGCCGAAGCCUAUCCCGGAGACACUGGGCGCAAGGCUGAAGGGGUGGGCACACCCUGGACGGGAUGCCAGUCCAUCGCAGUGACGCAACUAGGUACCCAGGCACACAGAUGGGCGAAGGCACCGGAGCAAUUGCAGGGCGAGCACCUCGCUCAAGGACACUACAGCCAGAGCCAGGGACGGAACGUCAAUCUGGGGAGCCAAAGGCAGCCACGCCAUCCACGACACCACCAGCUACCCUCUUCGGUGGUCAUGACCAUUUUUAUUUGAAAGACUUGCAGCACAACUGGGCUGCUGUGCUGAGGCUUGAAACGUGGGCAGCAGAUUCUUACACUUUUACACAUUCAUGCACUUAAGUGACAUUUUUCUCCAAUGUGACUUAGUGUGAGGUGGUGUACACCAAGCCAAAUACACUGAUUUACCACCCAGUACAAUUUAGCACUGGGGUUCAUGGGUGAUAUUUUCAACAUCCCAUAGAAAUGAAGGCACACUGGCACAAUUAAUAUUAUAGUUAUUAUCAUCAUCAUUAUUACAAAGCAAUAUUUGUGCAUAGAGUUUUUCAACAAUGGCUUUUCUGUAUCAAAAUUUGUCAAGCCAAUAAACCAUAAAACUGAAAACUGAGGGAGAGACA